RNAcentral lists this ribosomal RNA (1021 nucleotides) under Fuscidea kochiana. RNAcentral's name for it is "eukaryotic LSU rRNA". It matches the Rfam family "Eukaryotic large subunit ribosomal RNA", at positions 1 to 1041 of the family's 3401-position model. Lineage: Eukaryota; Fungi; Ascomycota; Lecanoromycetes; Umbilicariales; Fuscideaceae. The record is from RNAcentral.
UAGACCUCGGAUCAGGUAGGGAUACCCGCUGAACUUAAGCAUAUCAAUAAGCGGAGGAAAAGAAACCAACAGGGAUUGCCUCAGUAACGGCGAGUGAAGCGGCAGUAGCUCAAAUUUGAAAUCUGACCCCUCUGGGGCCUGAGUUGUAAUUUGUAGAGGAUGCUCCAGGUAUGGUUCCGGUCUAAGGUCCUUGGAACAGGACAUCAUAGAGGGUGAGAAUCCCGUAUGUGACCGAUGACCCCGCCUAUGUGGAGCUCCUUCGACGAGUCGAGUUGUUUGGGAAUGCAGCUCUAAGUGGGUGGUAAAUUUCAUCUAAAGCUAAACAUUGGCUGGAGACCGAUAGCGCACAAGUAGAGUGAUCGAAAGAUGAAAAGCACUUUGGAAAGAGAGUUAAAAAGUACGUGAAAUUGUUGAAAGGGAAGCGCUGGCAAUCAGACUUGCCCCCAGGGGACCAGCCGCUAUUCUUAACGGUGUACGUCCCUGGAGGCAGGCCAGCACCGGUCCUGGUGGCUGGAUAAACCCCCUGGGAAUGUAGCUCCCUCUGGGGAGUGUUAUAGCCUGGAGGAUCAUGCAGCCCACCGGGACCGAGGAUCGUGCUUUGGCUUGGAUGCUGGCGCAAUGGUUGUCAGCGGCCCGUCUUGAAACACGGACCAAGGAGUCUUCCGUGCAUGCGAGUGUUUGGGUGUCAAACCCACACGCGGAAUGAAAGUGAACGGAGGUGGGAACCCGUCAGGGCGCACCAUCGACCGAUCCAGAUGUCUUCGGAUGGAUUUGAGUAAGAGCAUGCCCGGAGGGACCCGAAAGAUGGUGAACUAUGCCUGGAUAGGGUGAAGCCAGAGGAAACUCUGGUGGAGGCUCGCAGCGGUUCUGACGUGCAAAUCGAUCGUCAAAUUUGGGCAUAGGGGCGAAAGACUAAUCGAACCAUCUAGUAGCUGGUUCACGUCGAAGUUUCCCUCAGGAUAGCAGUAACGUUUUCAGUUUUAUGAGGUAAAGCGAAUGAUUAGAGGCCUUGGGGCUGAAA